AGCGACCNGAACUAACAGAUUUACUUNGGUAAUGACNUUAGGAAAGCGAGUNGCGGAUGGGUGAGUAACACGUGGGGAACCUGCCCCAUANUCUGGGAUACCACUUGGAAACAGGNGCUAAUACCGGAUAANAAAGCANAUCGCAUGAUCAGNUUUUAAAAGGCGGCGUAAGCUGUCGNUAUGGGAUGGCCCCGCGGUGCAUUAGCUAGUUGGUAAGGUAAAGGCUUACCAAGGCGAUGAUGCAUAGCCGAGUUGANAGACUGAUCGGCCACAUUGGGACUGANACACGGCCCAAACUCCUACGGGAGGCAGCAGUAGGGAAUCUUCCACAAUGGACGCAAGUCUGAUGGAGCAACGCCGCGUGAGUGAAGAAGGUUUUCGGAUCGUAAAGCUCUGUUGUUGGUGAAGAAGGAUAGAGGUAGUAACUGGCCUUUAUUUGACGGUAAUCAACCAGAAAGUCACGGCUAACUACGUGCCAGCAGCCGCGGUAAUACGUAGGUGGCAAGCGUUGUCCGGAUUUAUUGGGCGUAAAGCGAGCGCAGGCGGAAGAAUAAGUCUGAUGUGAAAGCCCUCGGCUUAACCGAGGAACUGCAUUCGG
RNAcentral lists this ribosomal RNA (598 nucleotides) under Lactobacillus crispatus. RNAcentral's name for it is "partial 16S ribosomal RNA". It matches the Rfam family "Bacterial small subunit ribosomal RNA", at positions 56 to 630 of the family's 1533-position model. The record is from RNAcentral. Lineage: Bacteria; Bacillati; Bacillota; Bacilli; Lactobacillales; Lactobacillaceae.